GACAGAGGUGCCGAGCGUUAGGCGGAAUCACUGGGCUUAAAGCGCGUGUAGGCGGGAGGGCACGUCCGUCGUUGAAAUCCCCCGGCUCAACCGGGGAACGGGCGCGGAUACGACCUUCCUGGAGGGGCGUAGGGGGACCUGGAACUUCCGGUGGAGCGGUGAAAUGCGUUGAGAUCGGAAGGAACGCCCGUGGCGAAAGCGAGGUCCUGGACGCCUACUGACGCUGAGACGCGAAAGCCAGGGGAGCGAACGGG
Molecule: ribosomal RNA, 254 nt
Filed under: uncultured bacterium
Lineage: Bacteria
Description: partial 16S ribosomal RNA
Rfam family: Bacterial small subunit ribosomal RNA
Source: RNAcentral